Long non-coding RNA from Triticum dicoccoides, 1737 nucleotides. RefSeq lists it as uncharacterized. The transcript is spliced from 4 exons. The record is from RefSeq and is a predicted model, not a curated record. Lineage: Eukaryota; Viridiplantae; Streptophyta; Magnoliopsida; Poales; Poaceae.
UAUAUCCUUUAAUUUUAUGCAAGCAUAAAGAUCGACGGCUGAGAUUUAAAAGAAUCUAUACAACACACAUUACCUUGGAAAAACACCACGCCCCAGUCCCUUCGUUCUUCCCAAUUUUAUUUCCUCAUGGAGUCCACGACCGCCGUCGCCCACAGACCCCUCUCAUCACACGGGAUCCCAAUACCGCACGUCGGACGAAGCGCAUGUGAGCAAUCCCUCAUUCCCGCUAGCAUCACCAGUAUCAGCAAGGAAGGAAGCGUAUUAAGCUUCCAGUAGUCAACAGGUGGCAACCAGUGGUUGGGUUCAGGAUCAAGUGGCGUGGCCCCCUGAUUAGGGAACAGGUUUGAUUUUCCUUUUUUGUUGUCCUCAGUCCUAGUGCACUGCCGUAGUUCAUUUUCGUAUCUAAUAAAGAAAUUAACUGAAGCAGACACCGAGGCUUUCCCCUCCUCGUGUACACAAUUAUCACGUAAGUAUCGUGCUCUCCAGAUUAACAUUAAGACUCUUGCUCGGCCUGUAUCAUCACACGUCGAGUGCAAAUUUUAAGCCAGUCUUCACCAGUAUAACUGAAUGCCUUCUCUGAUGGUAGCAGCCAAUAUUUCCUGAGUUCACCCCCACAAGGCUCUCACGUACGUGUAGGUACUGUCCUAUCCUGGCCGCGCACGAGCUGAGCAAGUUCACAGGUUGGAAUGCAAAACUCUGAAUCCCAUUACAAUUCUCAAGGUUUAUGGCUUCUGAAAUUUGCCCUAAGGAUGCAGCAAACUCGAUUUCCCAAGAGGUUGGAACUCAAAACUCUGAAGCCAUUAGCCCUCCCUCGGGUGUAUUGGGCCCAAAGACCAAAUCACCGGAACCAUCACAAUGUUUUUUAUGCAGAUAUUUGGUGAACUAGAUUAUGUGUCUUCACCGCUGUGUUGGAUAAGUAUCGUGGUGUCAUCUUUUGACUCAAAUAUGUGCAAGGGGUACAAAAAUGCUUUUUCUGAUUAUAUGCCAAUUGAUCAGCACUAUAAUUUUUUGCAAGUAUUAGGUUUUGUUACUGCACAUGGAAAAUCAUAAGAAAGUAGAUAUGAAUGAAUAUUCCAUUAGAACUUUGAUUCCAUUUUAUUGUAACACUAAACUAGGUUUUGUUAGUACUUGUGUGAAAUGAUAGUUCAUAGUGGAACAAGAGGUGCUUUGGUUCAAAUAAGAAAUGAGAAAGUUGCAUUUUGGUGAUGAUUUUCUUCUCCGUAACAAUGCAUGGGAGUUUAAAUGUACGCCAUCUAAAUAUCUUUAUUUAAACUAAUGUACAUGCAUUGCACAUGCAUCAUGUACUCCCUCCGUAAAUAAAUAUGAGCGUUUAGAUCACUACUUUAGUGAUCUAAACGCUUUUAUGCUUCUUUACUGAGGGAGUAUUAUACUGAAACAACGGGGGGGUAAAGAGUUCUUAGUUGAGUUUAUUUUUGAAGGCAUGACUACAUGACCGUUGUUCUUCCAUUGCAACACAAUGGUACUUACCUAUCAUAUCUAAACAUUGGUUUACAUGGGUAAUUAUUUCUUUUCAAGUAGCACUUAAUAGCCAAAUGGAUGGAAGUUUCAUUGAAUGCUAAAUGUUAGAGGUAGUGUCUAAUAGCGAAGAAAAUAUAUUCUAUGGCCAAAUUGGGAACGGUUGAUAUAAAUUUUUCUAUACCUUGGGUGUGUGUAUUUUGAUGGACGGGACAAUCAGUGACCUUAACACACACGUCUUUUGGUAGAGCACCACUGUGC